GAAUCAAUGAUGAAAAAAUGUCUUUCAUUUUGAAUAAGAAAGCAAAGAUUUCAAAGGAGAGUAUUUUUUUCUUAAAUAAUUGAAACUGUAGUAAAAAUAUAAAGGUUUAAAAUAAAAAUAUGAACAGCCUCUUAUGAUAGUUUGAUUCCAUCUUAUAAAGCAAUCUUUGUUAACUUGAGAUAAAGGAUAAAGUUUCUAAAACUACACAAUUUAGGGUCUUUUUCAUUUUAUGUGGCUAUGGUAAUGAAAGAUGAGAGGAAACUUGUAUAUACUAAUGGUAAAAUGCACCCUGCAAUAUAUGCUAAUAGAUACCUCAGAAAUAGAAGACAGUACUGGUGAACUUUUAAUGCUCUUUUUAUGGGCUUAAAU
Molecule: long non-coding RNA, 369 nt
Filed under: Bos taurus (domestic cattle)
Lineage: Eukaryota; Metazoa; Chordata; Mammalia; Artiodactyla; Bovidae
Description: long non-coding RNA NONBTAT018358
Source: RNAcentral